UUCAUCGAUUUAACCAGGUUUUACGCUCCGCGCUUUGUUGACGUGCGUGGUCGAAUCGUGUUGUGUACGUGAGUGGCGUGUAACUGGUGAUACAGUAAGCAAGGACAAUCAUUAACGUGCGCGAUCCGCCGCAAAUCAGCCACGAGGCAUUGCAACGGGCACGUUCAGUGGGCUGCGCGGCCGUUGCAACGAGCUGCAUUGCUGAUUCUUCGCUUGCCUGAGACUGGCAAUUGUCGAGCGGGUUACAUCCGUUGUUACGUUGGCCGAAGACAGCAGUAAAAGUGAUCUGCAGAUAGCACGAAUGCCAGCAGUCGUGCAAAGUAGGAGUCCAAAGGGGGACAUGGUUGGUGUGGGUGAAAGCAACGUGUCAUUGUGGUUAAAAAAGAUGAAUCAGUAUACAUGUGAUAUAACUGUCAAAGCCGGAAUGUUGAAAGGUACGUAGACAGCACAAAUUUUUGUUCUUUUUUUUCCGCCAUAUUCAAUGUGUUGCGUUGGAACUGUUUACAGCAUACAUCCCGCCCAAGGCAUGCUGGGAGGAUCUCCUAUCAGGCAGCUUGGAAACUUCCAGACGCCGAUAUGCCUUACGUUUGGUGCAGCCGAGGUUAUGAACUUUCAAGUGGAAUAUGCCCCUUGAGGAAAACAAUUAUGACCCACUGUCCAGCAAGGAGGUUGCAGAAUCAGCAACUGACAUACUGACUGAUGAAACAUGAUGGUGCGUGCAGCAAGAGAGGGUUUGACUGCAGAUCCCGACCACCUGCUUCUGUAAAUUUGUACUAACCACAGUCGAAAACAAGGAGAAACGUUUGAAUACCGGCGGCCUUCUAUCAGCUAGACAAGUCCCUGAAGCUAUAAAUCAAUAAACUUAUGUGUAUUGAUGACUGUCACGCUAACUUUGACGUAUUCUGCUUUGGAGGUAUAAAGCAAUGAAAUGUGGAUUCUUUUCGAUUAGUGCAUGUUUUUUUUUUUUCUUCAGAAAAUUUCUUGUGAGCUCGCAAAACCCGAGCGACAAAAGUAAAGGACUGACAAUCCCCCUCUUUUUGGCUGCCCUCUGGGUUUCAUCUGUCCUGCUUAUGUGCAAAGUGCCAGCAGUUAUGGUAUGCCGCACACAUUAGUGUACUUAAGAAGUAGCACGACGCUAAUCACGUAUUAUUUGCAGGGGGAUCCACUCAGUAUGACCGCUCUACCCGUGGUCCACCGACCCAGGUGUCGCCUAACAAAGGGUAUGUGCCUCUUUUUUCUUUCGAUCUUCUUUCUGCGACUCAUUUCGGACUACUCGCUACGCGCAUGAUCGGCCCAGCCAAGUGUCGUCUAGCAAGAGAAGCGUGGCUCUUCCUUUAGUGCUUCUUUCUGUGCACGCCUAAUCUUUCGUACUUCUUUCUGCGGCUUUAUCAUGCAGCGUACAAAUAUGUACACAGAGUGAUGAGAACUUUCACGGAGGUGUCAUAUGGCCUGCCCUUUCCUGAAUACACACGCUGGAGCUUUGCAAUAAUUCUGGUACAUGCAUGUCUGCUUAGAGCACGACAAUUUCGGUGUCCGUGGCAAGAGAUGUACGCUUCCCUAAUCGCAAGAAAAAACACAAAACAAUUUCCUUUGGAGUUGGCUUAGAGCUUGCAUGCAUUAUAACGUCACACCUUCGCCCACAAGCAUCGCGUCGUUCAAAUGCGGUCUGCCACUAAAACGAUAAUUAAGAAGAGCAGGUGAUUGACAGAUAUUCUUAAUCAUGAGUUGUGCCAUGUGUAUCAGACAAGUAUCCUCUCUUGAUCCAAUUACGUAGAUGCUUAAGCAUUACAAUUUGCAUCUCUCGAGAAAACCGCGUUCCGGCUCUUGAUAUGCGCUCUUGGUAUUAUUGUAUGUUUUGCGUAUGCAUACAUUUACAUUUACUGCGUGUUUUUCUGAUAAUAUCAUUCAGCAUUCGUAUAUAAUAUGCACAAACGUACCAGCCAGCUACUUAUUACGCGAUGAUUUCAGACAUUUCUUUGGGUUUUGCGAGAAGUACGUAAAACUGACUUAACGUGGCGUAUGGCGAGUGGUCUGUAUAUCAAUUUUAAAUAUACUCUACGCCGUGAGGAGCAGUGUUAAUUCUCCGCGCAC
Molecule: long non-coding RNA, 2091 nt
Organism: Rhipicephalus sanguineus (brown dog tick)
Lineage: Eukaryota; Metazoa; Arthropoda; Arachnida; Ixodida; Ixodidae
Exons: 4
Source: RefSeq, a predicted model, not a curated record